UACGGAGGGUGCGAGCGUUGUCCGGAUUUAUUGGGUUUAAAGGGUACGUAGGCGGUAUAUUAAGUCAGUGGUGAAAUUCUGCAGCUCAACUGUAGGCGUGCCAUUGAUACUGGUAUACUUGAGUGUUGUAAGGGUGGGCGGAAUUCCGCAUGUAGCGGUGAAAUGCAUAGAUAUGCGGAGGAACACCGAAAGCGAAGGCAGCUCACUAGGCAACAACUGACGCUGAGGUACGAAAGCGUGGGGAGCGAACAGG
RNAcentral lists this ribosomal RNA (253 nucleotides) under uncultured bacterium. RNAcentral describes it as "partial 16S ribosomal RNA". It matches the Rfam family "Bacterial small subunit ribosomal RNA", at positions 524 to 776 of the family's 1533-position model. The record is from RNAcentral.